This is a long non-coding RNA of Lagopus leucura (white-tailed ptarmigan), 165 nucleotides long. RefSeq lists it as uncharacterized. NCBI's taxonomy places the organism in Eukaryota, Metazoa, Chordata, Aves, Galliformes, Phasianidae. The record is from RefSeq and is a predicted model, not a curated record. The transcript has 3 exons.
AGCGUGUGAGAAGAAUCUGUGUGCUCCAAGAGGAAGGCGGCAAACGACAUCUAUGGACCGAGCUGCGGCGGAGCUGCUUCAUUUGCCCAGUCUGCCCGCCACUGUGACCCUCCGCAGCACCAGCUGGAGCUCCGCAGCGCAUUAGCAUGGGAGCUGCUGCAGAAG